UACAGAGGUCUCAAGCGUUGUUCGGAUUCAUUGGGCGUAAAGGGUGCGUAGGUGGCGAGGCAAGUCAGGUGUGAAAUCUCGGGGCUCAACCCCGAAACUGCACUUGAUACUGCCUUGCUAGAGUACUGGAGAGGAGAUUGGAAUUUACGGUGUAGCAGUGAAAUGCGUAGAUAUCGUAAGGAAGACCAGUGGCGAAGGCGAAUCUCUGGACAGUUACUGACACUGAGGCACGAAGGCCAGGGGAGCAAACGGG
RNAcentral lists this ribosomal RNA (253 nucleotides) under uncultured bacterium. RNAcentral's name for it is "partial 16S ribosomal RNA". It matches the Rfam family "Bacterial small subunit ribosomal RNA", at positions 524 to 776 of the family's 1533-position model. The record is from RNAcentral.